RNAcentral lists this long non-coding RNA (1121 nucleotides) under Homo sapiens (human). Its description in RNAcentral is "HSALNT0116935". Lineage: Eukaryota; Metazoa; Chordata; Mammalia; Primates; Hominidae. The record is from RNAcentral.
AUAACAUCUAAUGCUCAUAGCAUUUAGCUGUCCAGCCCAUUCUGCAGGACAGAGGCUGACAGCUGUUGCACCUGGGUCAGAAAGGGACACACUGCGAAGAGCAGGAAUUCUUCCGUCAUGAUCCACAGUCUCUGUUGGGUUGCAGUAGUCACCGCGAUGCUCAUAAACUGAGAAAAAAUAUAUAUAUGUCUUUUUCACUUUAUUGGCAAAUAUUACAUAAGUAUAUAAAUUUCACUUUUUACAGCUAAAGGCUGCAUAGCCAUAACUUCUGAGCAAUUUAUUAAGGUUGAAUAAAAUUGAUAUAAGGAAUCAUUUUAUAAAAUAAAAUCUUGUGCAAAUGUGUAUGUUUUUAUUUUAUAAAGUGCAUAGCUAGUAAAUCUGCGUCUGCCCCACACAUCGCUUUCUCAUUCCUUGUUAUUCCGGCAUUCAAGCACACACACGCACCAACAUGCACGUGCACACAUGUGCCCAAACACAUACACAUAUUUAUGCAUGUUCACACAUACACGGACGAGUGCACAGCACACCAUGCCUCACUACCGGACAAUGAGGUUAGGUAGGUCGACCGCACAGGAGUUUCUGUACCAUCUUACGUGUCAGCCCAAAGACCUAGAGGCCACUGAAACAGAGCAAAGUGGCAUUGCUUUUAUUUCACGUGAGAGUCUGUUUUUCCAAAUACGAAGCCUGCCCCCCUUUGAUUGGAUUAUCGUGUUUAUCACUCAGCUUUGGCCACAUUUGGGCAGCCUGUCACCCUUUUUAAGUUGUAUUCUUGAUGUAGAUUUUGAAAAGAUGGAGUCUAUGAUGAUAGGUUUUAGUGAAUCAGCUGAAAAAAGUUUGAUAUAUCAUUAAAUAAGAACACAAUUCAGGAAACCUAACUUCAGAUACACCAAUUGCUGAGACCCAUGGAGAGUGGUUACUAUGCUGGCCUCAAAGUUGCAGGAUGAAGAUUGGUCAGGUUAAAAUGAAAGGAAACGUCUCAGGAGUUGGAGACAAACAGAAUGGUUAGAAAAACAAUUUUUGCAUUGUGUCGAGUGACCUGGCUGCCUGCUGGGUCACCGUGUACUUUUCACUCAGGUGAGUCGCAUCAAACCAUGGUGCCACUUAUGGAGCCAGACCCAGCC